RNAcentral lists this unclassified non-coding RNA (224 nucleotides) under Hevea brasiliensis (rubber tree). Lineage: Eukaryota; Viridiplantae; Streptophyta; Magnoliopsida; Malpighiales; Euphorbiaceae. The record is from RNAcentral.
GGGAUGCAAUGCAGCAGUUUGAUGAUUGCAUUCCUCGACGAGAAUUUGAUAACUUUCAGUUCGUAAAUUUCACGAAGAUUAUGUCAGCUGACAUGGAAAUGACAAAGAAGGAAGCAGCAUUUGCACUUGCUGCACUUAUGGAGAUUCCCUUUCAGUACAGAGCCACACAGGGACUUAGACCUAUGGAAAAAGAGAGGGGAAAGACAAGUCAAUGUAAGGUUCUC